Molecule: ribosomal RNA, 903 nt
Filed under: Strongyloides procyonis
Lineage: Eukaryota; Metazoa; Nematoda; Chromadorea; Rhabditida; Strongyloididae
Description: SSU rRNA
Rfam family: Eukaryotic small subunit ribosomal RNA
Source: RNAcentral
GUUGGAUAACUGAGGUAAUUCUUGAGCUAAUACACGCUAUUUAUACCACAUUAGUGGUGCGUUUAUUUGAUUAAACCAUUUAUACUGGUUGACUCAAAAUAUCCUCGCUGAUUUUGUUACUAAAACAUACCGUAUGUGUAUCUGGUUUAUCAACUUUCGAUGGUAGGGUAUUGGCCUACCAUGGUUGUGACGGAUAACGGAGAAUUAGGGUUCGACUCCGGAGAGGGAGCCUGAGAAACGGCUACCACAUCCAAGGAAGGCAGCAGGCGCGAAAAUUACCCAAUUUUAGUUAAAAGAGGUAGUGACGAAAAAUGACAACCAAAUAUUAUUAUUAAUAUUUGGAUUGAAAAUCUUCAAGUUUAAAUAACUUGUUGGUAAAGGAAAGGGCAAGUCUGGUGCCAGCAGCCGCGGUAAUACCAGCUUUCCAAGUGCAUAAAAUGAUUGUUGUGGUUAAAAAGCUCGUAGUUGGAUUAUAAAGAUUGUAUAAUGAGCAUCUUGGAUGUUAUUAAUCAUUAUCAUCUUAUAUUUUUAUUAUAUUAGAAAUAAUAUAAUAACCUGUUACUUUGAAUAAAUCAGAGGGUUUAAACCAGACAUUAUAUGUUUGUAUGGUCUAGCAUGGAAUAACACUAUAGAAAAAUUUAGUGUGGUUUCACUUAAUUUUUCAUGAUUAAUAGGAACAAACGGGGGCAUUCGUAUCGCUACGUUAGAGGUGAAAUUCUUGGACCGUAGCGAGACGUCCUACUGCGAAAGCAUUUGCCAAGAAUGUUUUCAUUAAUCAAGAACGAAAGUUAGAGGUUCGAAGGCGAUCAGAUACCGCCCUAGUUCUAACCGUAAACUAUGCCUACUAGAUGUAUGAAUUAUUAGUUAUAAUAAUUUAUGCAUCUUCUCGGAAACGAAAGUCUU